Molecule: long non-coding RNA, 38877 nt
Filed under: Citrus x clementina
Lineage: Eukaryota; Viridiplantae; Streptophyta; Magnoliopsida; Sapindales; Rutaceae
Description: Citrus clementina (C. clementina) long non-coding RNA (CCLE_LNC001930)
Source: RNAcentral
GGCUGCUUAGAGGCCCAAGUGAACAAGCGGAGUGCUGAGGACUCGUCGCGUUGGCGACGGAGAGCGUCGAGGAGUUGAGUUGAAGUGAAAUUGGAAGGGAGUUGACGAGAGAAAGUGGAAGAUGAAGAUGAUAGUGAGGUGAGUUGCUGAUGGUCAUGGUGUUGUGUGGAGGCAAAAGAAAUGGUGGUGGGUUUGGAAGAUAAAGGGAGGAGGGAUUGUCGUGGGAGAGGCCAAGGGUGACUCUUGAGACACGAAGAGAGUGACAUUUCAGGGGAUUUGACGGAGAUUGAACAUGAAAAUUUGGAAAAGAAAGUUUCUUUCUUUCAGGAAUGAGCUAGUGAGCUGCAGCUGGAGUGAAAACAACUGGAUUUUCCUUUUUCUUUUUUUCUUUUUUUUUUUUUUCCCUUGAAGGUCGUUUCGUUUCCGGGCGGUUUUCUGCCAAUUGCAUAAACCAACCCUGAAUCCUUAACUUAGGCGGCUGAGGAGAUGCCAACGACGUCGUUAGCAGUGUUUUAAAAGCCUACCAACCAAAACGCUACGUUUGUUUCCAGGGGCGAUGGUUUAACUAUUUUGGACAGUUUAAUCUUCGGGGCCCAAUAUUUGGGUCCAACUAACCCCUGCAUCCACUGUGAGUUAUUGGGCCCUUACCCAACCCAAUGUUAAACAUUUUCACAUCUUCUUGAGGUUCCCCCCGGAGUCACACCCUGUGUCCCUGUCUGAAAUUAUAGUACGGUAGAAUUUUAAUAAAUUAAAGCUCAAUAAAUUGAUAAUCUCGAUAUAAAUAAUAAUUUUAUCGAUCCCAAGCUAAUAUGGUAAUUAAUAAUUUGAUAAAUUUAUUAUAUAAUAAAAUUUUAAAAAAUUUUUUAUUUUUCUAUAAGACCCAACUAAUAUAAAAAUUAAUAACGAAUUAAUUUAAAAAUAAAUACGUAUGAUAUGUUUAUGAUUUUCUUUGUUAUAAUGACAUAAUGCUUCACAUAUUUCAUUGGUUAUUGUUAUAUUCUAUGUGCUACAUUGGUUAUUGUUGUAUUCUAUAUGCCAUGUUAAGAAAAAUAAGAGAGAGAUUAGUUAAUAUGUCACCUCCAAAUAGUCUUCUCCGAUGAGUUACUGAAUAAUUGCUAUCCAGCCAUGCAAUUGUUAGCCUAUAUGGCUAUAAAUAUUGAUUUUGAUGAUAACAAACCACAUGUAUUUAUUAAGUGAAGAUUUAUGAAUUGUGCUUUUAUAAUAAGAAAAUGAUGUUAUGGAAUUAAAGCAUUUUGGAUUAAAAUGAAAGUAAUUUCAAAAUCUUUGAUAGUGUUUAAAUUUCGGAUUUGGACCUAUUUGAAACUAUUUAAAUGUUUUUGGGUCAUUCUAUAAUUUCACAAAGUUUGGGAGAAAUCAUAAUUUCAGAAAGUUUUGGGAUUAACGAAGCAUUACUUAGAAGUUCUGAAAUUGGACUUAUUUGCAAAGUUUCAUAACAUUUUGGGUCAUACUAUAGUUUUAUAAAGUUUUAGGGUCAAACUGAAAAUUUGAGAAAUAUUUCACUGUAGUAGGUUACUGUAGCAAGCGGCUAUCCGGAUUUUGAAAACCGGAAAUCCGGAUACGGGCAGUAAGCGUCCAGAACGAAAACAGCUUAUCGGAUUCCGUAACCGGCAAGCCGGAUAGGCAAAAUUCAAAUUUUUGCCUUAACGGUAACAUAAAUUCGGCUUACCGGAUUCCAUAAACGGUAAACCGGAUACGCCUGGAAUGUGAGUAACGACUAGUUUUUGAGCUCAAACUAUAAGAACUCAAAUCCAACUCAUUUUGAAGCUCUCCAACAAGUAAAAACAAAAAGCACACGAGAUAUCUUGAGCCUUCAAACUUGCAAACUACAUACAUUGAAUCAUUCAUUGUUCUUCAUCUUUGAAUAUCUACUCAUUGAGUGAGUUUCAUUGUAACUUUCAUUUCUUCAUUUCAAUUGUAAGAAUUUGAGUGUGUGAGACACUUGAGUGAAGAGAUUGGGAGAUAAUUUCUUCGUUGUAAAGGUUUAUUGACACCUUGAAGUCAAUUGUAAUCGGUUGAAGUCUCGAAAAGGCUUGGAUAGUGAAAUCCUCAAGCUUGGAUUGCUUGGAGGCGUGGACGUAGGCGGAGAUUACCGAACCACGUAAAAAUCCAUGUGUUUGUUUCUCUUCUCCUUUACUCUUUAAUUAUUGUGCCUUUAUUAAACUUAUUACUUUCAAUUUUUAUUAAGGCAUUAGAUUGUUUGUUGUGUGGAUUUGCUAGGAUAAUUUUUAAAUUUCCAAUUCACCCCCCCUCUUAGGUUGCACGCUUAUAUUUCAUUUGGUAUCAGAGCAAGGUGCUCUUAUUUAGAUUUAACAAUCUAGAGCUAAAGAUCAAUGGCAACUCAAAAUGAUUCCACAUUUAGGGAAGGGCAGUCCACUACUAAACCACCUUACUUUGAUGGAAACGAUUACCCAUAUUGGAAAACUAGGAUGAGAAUUUACUUGUAAGCCUUAGAUUAUGAGAUUUGAGAAAUCGUUAAUGAUGGUCCUUUCAUGCCUUUGACUAAAAAUGAAGUAGAAGAAGAUAUUCCAAAACCUUCACGGGAUUGGAAUGAUUUCGAAAAGAGAAAAGCUUCUCUAAAUUCCAAGGCUAUGAAUACCUUGUUUUGUGCUUUAGAUAAGAAAGAGUUUCAUAGAGUGUCUAGUUGCGAAAGUGCUAAUGAGAUUUGGCACAAACUUGAGGUUGUCUAUGAAGGCACGAACCAAGUGAAAGAAUCUAAAAUAAGUAGGUACACUCGACAAUACGAAUUGUUCUAAAUGAACAAAAUGAAAAUGUGUACUCUAUGUAUACUAGAUUCACGGACAUAGUGAACACUCUAGGAGCCCUAGGAAAGACUUUUUCAAAUAGCGAAAAAGUCAAGAAAAUCAUUAGGUCACUACCUAAGGAAUGGAGACAAAAAAGGACUGCCAUUGAGGAAGCCAAUGAUUUAAAUAUAUUACCUAUUGAUGAUUUAAUUGGCUCUCUUAUUUCAUAUGAAGAAGAUUUGGCAGCUGAAAAAGUGCAUGAGGAAAAGAAGAAAAACAUUGCUCUGAAGGCUUCAAAACAUGAGAGUGAUGAGGAAAGCGAAAUAAAUGAUGAGGAGCUGGCUAUGUUGGCUAGAAGAUUCAGAAAAUUUUACAAAAAGAACAAUGAGUAGAGAAAGUUCAGAGGCUACAAGAAUAAGAAGGAAUAGAAUGAGCCAAUCAUUUGUUAUGAAUGCAAGAAGCCCGGACACAUACGACCGGAAUGUCCUCUUCUCAACAAAUUCAAGAAAAAGGCUAUGGUGGCCACAUGGGAUGAUAGUGAUGAGGAAACAAGUGACGAUGAUGAGCAAUAAGAAAUGACAAACUUAGCUCUUAUGGCUAUUGGGAAAGAAUCAUGUGAUGAACUUGAUGAGGUAAGUGUUCUUCCUACAUAUGAUGAAUUGCAUGAUGCUUUUAAGGAUUUCCAUGAUGAGCUAAUGAAGAUUGGUAAAAAGAAUAUAUGUCUUAAAAAGAAGAUGAUAGAGCUUAAGAAUGAAAAUGAUUCAUUUAGUGCAAAGAUUACAUGCCUAGAAUUAUAAAAUAAAACAUUGCGUGAUAGUAUUGCAUUAUUUGAGAAUUCUAGCACCUCACAUGAGCACUUAGAGUCACACAUGAAUGACUUGAAAAAUGAGAAUGAAAUGCUUAGAAAGAAGAGCAAUGAACUAAAUGAAAUUGUGCUAAAAUUCACAAAUGGGCAAAAGAUGUUGGACAAUUUGCUAAACUCACAAAAGUGUAUAUUUGACAAAAGUGGCAUAGGUUAUAAACCGAAUUUGAAACAAAAAUUUUACAAGAGUUAUUUUAUGAAGAAUACAUUUAUUAACAGUAAAAUUGUAUGUCAUUAUUGCAAUCAAGAUGGCCAUAUGAAAAAUAGAUGUGCAGUGAAGAGAAAUGCAUAUUAUGGUAUGAAAUGUGUUUGGGUUCCGAAAGGAACCCUUGCUAACUCUCAAGGACCCAAAAAGGUUUGAGUACCUAAAACUUGAGAUUUUUUCUACAGGGCUCAAAAAAGAAGAAGAAUAAGUUGUACUUAGUCAGCGGUUGUUCAAGACACAUGAUAGGGAAUUAUUCUUGGUUUUCAAGCUUUACUAAGAUCGAAAAUGGUGGAGAUGUUUCAUUUGGGGAUAAUUCAAAAGGAAAAAUCAUUGGGAUUGGAAAUGUAGGUAAUGUAUCCUCUACUCUCAUUGAAAAUAUGUGUUUGGUUGAAAACUUGAAACACAAUUUGCCUAGUAUUAGUCAAUUAUGUGAUAAAAGAUAUAGAGUUAUUUUUUAUGAAUCAAAGUGUGUUAUUGAGAAUGCAUGUGAUGGGAAAGUCUUGUUUGUAGGAAAUAGAUGUGUUAAUGUUUAUACCAUUAAUAUAGAUUGUGCAUCAACAAAUAAGAAAUGUCUCUCCGCAUUGCAUAAUGAUGGUUGGUUGUGGCAUAGAAGAUUAGGUCAUGCAAGCAUGGAUUUAAUUUCAAAAUCGUGAAAAAUGAUUUAGUAAAAGGUCUUCCAAAAAUCAAUUUUAAAAAAGAUAGAACUUGUGAAGCAUGCCAAUUUGGAAAACAAAUCAAAACUUCCUUUAAAAGCAAGAAUCGUGUCUCCACUUCAAAACCACUUCAAUUGCUUCAUAUAAAUUUAUUUGGACCUUCUAGAUAUGCUAGUUUAAGUUGCAAAUUUUAUGCAUUUGUAAUUGUGGAUGAUUAUUCUAGAUACACAUGGGUAUUGUUCUUGGCUAAUAAGGAUGAUGCCAUUGAUGCAUUUUGAAUUUUCUAUAAAAAGGUUCAAAAUGAAAAAAGUUAUUAUAUUUCUUGUAUUAGAAGUGAUCAUGGUGGAGAAUUUAAAAAUCAUGCAUUUGAAAAUUUUUGUAAUGAUUUUGGCAUUGAACAUUAAUUUUCAUCACCUAGGACUCCACAACAAAAUGUAGUAGAGAGAAAGAAUAGGUCUAUUCAAGAAAUGGCUAGGACCAUGUUGAAUGAAAACUCUUUGCCUAAGUAUUUUUUGGCUGAAGCCGUCAACACCGCUUGUUAUGUUUUAAAUCGGGUGUUGAUUAGACCUAAUCUUAAUAAAACUCCAUAUGAGCUUUGGAAAGAUAGAAAACCCAACAUUGGUUAUUUUAAAGUUUUUUGAUGCAAAUGUUUUGUUUUGAACACAAAAGAUAAUCUUGGUAAAUUUGAUCCAAAAUCUGAUGUUGGCAUUUUUCUUGGUUAUUCAAAUUCAAACAAAGCUUAUAGAGUUUAUAAUAAAAAAAACUUUAGUUGUGGAAGAAUCUAUGCAUGUUACAUUUGAUGAGUCUAACCCCUCCUCUACGGAGAAAGUUGUUGUUGAUGAUAAUGCAGAAGAAGAACAACAAGAAGAAGCAUUGAAUGACAACCAAGAAGAUGCGCCCCGUGGAAUUGAAGAGGAACAUCAUGAAGAAACAAAUGCAGUGCAAAAUGAAGGUACUUCACAAACACUCCCCAAGGAGUGGAGGUAUAUAUCCUCUCACCCUAAAGAUGUAAUUUUAGAAGAUCCCUCAUGAGGUGUUACCACUAGGUCAUCCCUUAGAAACACAUGUGAGCAUGCUGCAUUUAUUUCUCAAAUUAAACCAAAAUCCUUUGCGGAUGCAGAAAACGAUAAAUCUUGGAUUAUGGCAAUGCAAGAGGAGUUGAAUCAAUUUGAGAGAAACAAUAUGUGGGAGUUAGUUCCUAAUCCGGAACAUCAAUCCAUUAUAGGUACUAAAUGGGUAUUUAGAAACAAAAUGGAUGAAUCCGGUGUGGUUGUAAAAAAUAAAGCUAGAUUAGUGGCUCAAUGUUACAACCAAGAGUGGAGGUAUGUAUCCUCUCACCCUAAGGAUGUAAUUUUAGGAGAUCUCUCACGAGGUGUUACCACUAGGUCAUCCCUUAGAAACACAUGUGAGCAUGCUGCAUUUAUUUAUCAAAUUGAAGCAAAAUCCUUAGCGGAUGUGGAAAACGAUGAAUCUUAGAUUAUGGCAGUGCAAGAGGAGUUGAAUCAAUUUGAGAGAAACAAUGUGUGGGAGUUAGUUCCUAAUCCGGAACAUCAAUCCAUUAUAGGUACUAAAUUGGUAUUUAGAAACAAAAUGGAUGAAUCCGGUGUGGUUGUAAAAAAUAAAGCUAGGUUAGUGGCUUAAGGUUACAACCAAGAAGAAUGAAUUGAUUUUUAUGAAACUUUUGCACUUGUAGUAAGGUUAGAAUCCAUUAGGAUGUUGUUAGCAUAUGCAUGUCAUAAGGAUUUUAUUUUAUAUCAAAUGGAUGUCAAGAGUGCUUUCUUAAAUGGAUAUAUUAUGGAGGAAGUCUAUGUGAAACAACCUCAUAGUUUUGAAAAUGAAAAAUUUUCAGAUCAUAUGUAUAAGUUAUCCAAGCCUUUGUAUGGUUUAAAACAAGCACCUAGAGCUUGGUAUGAUAGGCUUAAAAAUUUCUUGUUAGAUAACGAUUUUUCAAUGGGAAAAGUGGACACUACUCUUUUUGUUAAGCAUAAGAACCAAGACAUACUUAUUGUUCAAAUUUAUGUUGAUGACAUUAUUUUUGGUUCUACUAAUGAGUUGUUGUGUAACGAUUUUUUAUCAUGUAUGAGCCAAGAAUUUGAGAUGAGUAUGAUGGGAGAGUUGAAUUACUUCCUUGGACUUCAAAUCAAACAAAAUGAGGAAGGAAUUUUCAUAAACCAAGCCAAGUACGUGAAAGAUCCACUCAAAAGAUUUGGCUAUGAUAAUGGAAUGGCAAAAAGCACUCCUAUGAGUACUACUAUCAAGCUGGACAAAGAUGAGAAAGGUAAGGAAGUUGAUAUCAAGACAUAUCGAGGUAUGAUCAGAUCCUUACUCUACUUGACUGCUAGUAGGCCUGAUAUUAUGUUUAGUGUUUACUUGUGUGCUAGAUUUCAAUCUUGUCCUAAAGAGUCUCACAUGCUUGCUGUCAAACGCAUUUUUCGAUAUUUAAUUGGCACUAUUAAUCUUGGCCUUUGGUAUCCUAAAGGAAUUCAUAUUGAUUUAACUUGUUAUUCGGAUGCCAAUUUUGCUGGGUAUAAGGUUGAUAGAAAAAGUACUAGUGGAACAUGUCACUUCCUAAGCCAUUCUCUUGUCUCUUGGUUUAGUAAGAAACAAAACUCGGUUGCGCUUUCAACCACCGAGGUAGAAUAUAUUGCCGCAGGUAGUUGUUGUGCACAAAUUCUAUGGAUGAAACAAACUCUUAGAGAUUAUGGUAUUAAGCUUGAUCAAAUUCAUAUCUUAUGUGACAAUACUAGUGCUAUAAAUCUCUAUAAGAAUCCUAUUCAACAUUCUAGGACUAAGCAUAUAGAAAUUAGACAUCAUUUCCUUAGAGAUUUUGUUCAAAAAGGAGAUGUGGUAAUUAAAUUUGUUUCCACUGAAAAAUCAACUUGCGGAUAUAUUUACAAAACCUCUUAGCGAAGAGCAUUUUAUAAAGAUAAGACAUGAGCUUGGAAUGAUGAAUAUUGAAUCUUAAUUCAUGUUUUACUACAUGGCUUGAUAUGUUUGUUAUCAUAUGGAUUUAUGCUUUAUGAAUUAGACAACUUGAUAUGCUUGUAAAUUUAUGAUUUUAUGAUUUGUUUUUCAUGUAUUAAAUGACUUUAUUGAAAAAUUUUAAGUCUCAAAAUGAUUUAAAAUUAAUCAAUUUUUAAGGCCGGAAAUGAAAUAGUGUGUGUAGUACAAGUAUAAGAGCUAGUAAAUAUUCCAUUUCCAUUCAUCUGGAAAAACAUUUUUUUUUAUUGAUCUCUCUCGGGACAAAUUUCGGAUAACCGGAUUCUCAAUCCGAAAAAUCGAAUUAGCUUUGGUUGCUCUCGAGACAAUAUUCGGACAACCGGAUUUGCUAAGCUUCAUCUCUGCCUCAUAACUGGUCUACAGGAUCUUCAAUCUGGAAAACCGAAUUUGGAAGCCAACUCUCUGCCUCACAACCGGUCUACCGGUUAGCAAAACCGGAAAGCCGAAUUCGCGUGCAUGCUUUCUGGAACAACACCGGAUUUCCGGUUCAAGACAAUCCGGAAAACCGGAUUUUUGGAGGCUCUCGAAACCGGCCAGUCGGUUAAGGAAACCGGCAAGCCGAAUUGCCUCUUGCGGCUCUCGGGUCUAUAUCCGGUUUACCAGAUUUCAAAUUCGGAAAGCCGGUUUCGGAUUUCUCCAAUUCUACUCGCUAACCGGCUUACCGGUUAGAAAAUCCAGCAAGCCGGAUACGUGACCCUUUUAAGUUGUUCAUCCUCUUCCUCAUGCAUUCGGAAAACCAGUUCUUUAUCUCUCUAAAAACCAUUCUCAUUCUCUCUCUUUUUCACUCCAAAAUCCUUCAUUUUCUAUCCUUUUCACAUCAAAUUGAAUCUAAAAAAUCAUUCUCCAUCUCAUUAAGAACUCAAAACCAUCCUUGGAAUUCAUUUUGAACAUCUAAAUCUUUAGAUCCCAUUUUUAACCUAAGUUUUGAGCCAUUUUUUUCUCUCUCUAGAUUUCUCUCUCUCAAGUCGUUUUUGAUCCAAUUUUCUUCUCCAAAUCACUCUCAAUCUUCAUCAUCAUCAUUCUCCUUAUCCUUUUUAACUCAAAAUCAACCAAAUCUAAAUGUCAAGCUCUCGGUCGGUUUGAAGAAAAGGCAAAGAACCGGUUCAACCAUCCACACGGCCACGAGAAGCAAGGGGCACCUCCAGUCAAUCCACCUUUAAGUCCAUUCAUUUUCAGAACAAGCAACACUUGAUCAAAAGGUUCCAACAAAACUUUCGGACUUGUAAAGUACUCAACACUUUCUUUAUUUUACCGGAUGUUUUGCAUACUCUCCAGAUUAGUCAUAGAAAUCUAUUUCAAUUGUUGGGAGAUGUUGGUUGGAUUGAUGCAUUGUUGAUUGAGGAGAAUGUGUAUCCCGACUUGGUGAAAGUAUUUUACUCGAAUAUGGAUUGUUCCGCGGAGAAAGAAAAUCGAGUAAUCACCACAGUUGGAGGAGUUUUGAUUGAAUUUGAUGAUUCGGAGUUGAACUCCAUCCUAGGAUCUUCCGAUGAUGGACUGGACAUUUUUUCUCUUAGGAAACCUCCUGAUAUUGAUGACUAUGUUCAUGUUGAUGCCAUUCGUAAUAUUUAUCGGUGUAAUGAUCUUUCUGUUAAAGACUGUACCAUUCAUUUCCGUACUCAGUGUCUUUGUCUUCAAACUUAUUUUUUACUUCGUACCAUCCGGUCCAUUGUACUUCUUAGAUCAGGACAUUUGGAUGAGGUUUCUCAUAUGGAUGUGGCCAUGAUUGACUGUAUUCUUAGAGGUCGCCCGGUUGACUUGGGCUAUUCAAUUAUCCGCACCAUGUUGAGCAUUCCUGCCUUGAUUACCCGCUCUCUUCCUUAUGGUCACUUUAUUACCCGAAUUCUUAAAUUCUUUGAAGUGCCGAUUCUAGAACUAUCUUGUAGGCCGUCCAAGGGUAUUGGGGAUGAGGUUAUUGUUGGAUUAGGCUUUGAGUGGAAGGAUGGCACUUGGGUCAAAUACAACGAUAACAAGUUUACCUUUCUAGCCCCAAGUGAUGAUCGGCCACUUAAUGCUGUGAUUCCAACUGAUCAGCUUCCAGUAUUCUCACUCUCUUUUCGAGGGCAACGUAGACGCCAAGUUUCUUCUACGGUUGCUUCGGCUCCUAGUGCAUCUGCAUCCGUUUCAUCACCUCCACGGCCUCCUAUCUCUGGAGAUGUUACUCUUCAGCAGCUUAUGGAUGAGGUGCGGAUACUUUCGGUGCGGCAGACUGAGCUUCAGCAGGAGCAGCAGCAGCAGUAGCUCAUUCAUGGACAACGCCUCCUCUUUUAGCACUUCGGCAUUCCAUAUUCGUUUCCACCUCCGUCACCUCCAUCCUCACCACCUGAGUAGUAUCUUAUGCUUGUACUUGGACACACAUACAUUUCAUUUACUGCAUUGUGUGUUCUUUUAUUUUCAACUCUAUGGAUGGUUAUUAUGCUUUUUGGUUUAUGCAUUUGUUUUGGAUGAUAUGGAUUUGUUGUGACUAUUUAUGUUGGAUGUUAUGGAUUUGUUUUGAUUGAUCAUUAUGGAUUAUAUGGAUUUUCUUAUGCUUAUGGAUAUUUUUUUUACUAAUGUGCUUAUGUUGCGAUUUUGAUGAUUGAUAGGGGGAGCCUUUAUUCUUUUUGAUAAUGAAGGGGGAGAAUGAUUUAAUAUGUGUUAUGAAAAUAUGCAUGUAUUUAGGGGGAACAUGUAUGCAGGGGGAGUUUUUGUUAAACAAUUUUCAAAUCAUUUUUUUUAACUUGCAUUGAUUAAGGGGGAGCUUUUUCAUAACAAGAUUAAAGUUUUUAAUGUGUUUUGUCAUCAUAAAAAAUGAGGAGAUUGUUAGCCUAUAUGGCUAUAAAUAUUGAUUUUGAUGAUAACAAACCACAUGUAUUUAUUAAGUAAAGAUUUAUGAAUUGUGCUUUUAUAAUAAGAAAAUGAUGUUAUGGAAUUAAAGCAUUUUGGACUAAAAUGAAAGUAAUUUCAAAAUCUUUGAUAGUGUUUUAAAUUUCGGAUUUGGACCUAUUUGAAACUAUUUAAAUAUUUUUGGGUCAUUCUAUAAUUUCACAAAGUUUAGGCAAAAUCAUAAUUUUAAAAAGUUUUGGGAUUAACGAAGCAUUACUUAGAAAUUCUGAAAUUGGACUUAUUUGUAAAGUUUCAUAACGUUUUGGGCCAUACUACAGUUUUAUAAAGUUUUGGGGUCAAACUAAAAAUUUGAGAAAUAUUUCAUUGUAGCAGGUUACUGUAGCAAGCGGCUAUCCGGAUUCUGAAAACUGAAAAUCUGGAUACGGGCAGUAAGCAUCCAGAACGCAAACGGCUUACCGGAUUCCGUAACCGGCAAGCCGGAUAGGCAAAAUUCAAAUUUUUGCCUUAACGGUAACAUAAAUCCGGCCUAUCGGAUUUCAUAAACGGCAAACCGAAUACGCCUGGAACGUGAGUAACAGCUAGUUUUUGAGCUCAAACUAUAAGAACUCAAAUCCAACUCAUUUUGAAGCUCUCCAACAAGCAAAAACAAAAAGCACACGAGAUAUCUUGAGCCUUCAAACUUGCAAACUACAUACAUUGAAUCAUUCAUUGUUCUUCAUCUUUGAAUAUCUACUAAUUGAGUGAGUUUUAUUGUAACUUUCAUUUCUUUAUUUCAAUUGUAAGAAUUUGAGUGUGUGAGACACUUGAGUGAAGAGAUUAGGAGAAAUCAUAAUUUGGGCGAAAUCAUAAUUUCAAAAAGUUUUGGGAUUAACGAAGCAUUACUUAGAAAUUCUGAAAUUGGACUUAUUUAUAAAGUUUCAUAACGUUUUGGGCCAUACUAUAAUUUUAUAAAGUUUUGGGGUCAAAUUGAAAAUUUGAGAAAUAUUUCAUUGUAGCAGGUUACUGUAGCAAGCGGCUAUCCGGAUUCUGAAAACUGAAAAUCCGGAUACGGGCAGUAAGCGUUUAGAACGAAAACGGCUUAUUGGAUUCCGUAACCUGCAAGCCGGAUAGGCAAAAUUCAAAUUUUUGCCUUAACGGUAACAUAAAUCCGGCUUACCGGAUUCCAUAAACGGCAAAUCGAAUACGCCUGGAACGUGAGUAACAGCUAGUUUUUGAACUCAAAUCCAACUCAAUUUGAAGCUCUCCAACAAGCAAAAACAAAAAGCACACGAGAUAUCUUGAGCCUUCAAACUUGCAAACUACAUACAUUGAAUCAUUCAUUGUUCUUCAUCUUUGAAUAUCUACUCAUUGAGUAAGUUUUAUUGUAACUUUCAUUUCUUUAUUUCAAUUGUAAGAAUUGGAGUGUGUGAGACACUUGAGUGAAGAGAUUGGGAGAUAAUUUGUUCGUUGUAAAGGUUUAUUGACACCUCAAAGUCAAUUGUAAUCGGUUGAAGCCUCGGAAAGGCUUGAAUAGUGAAAUCCUCAAGCUUGGAUUGCUUGGAGGCGUGGACGUAGGCGGGGAUUGCCGAACCACGUAAAAAUCUGUGUGUUUGUUUCUCUUCUCUCUUACUCUUUAAUUAUUGUGCCUUUAUUAAACUUAUUGCUUUCAAUUUUUAUUAAGACAUUAGAUUGUUUGUGUGUGGAUUUGCUAAAAUAAUUUUUAAAUUUCCAAUUCACCCCCCCUCUUGGGUUGCACACUUAUAUUUCAGCAAUCUAGUGAAAAGAAUAUCAUAUGAUUGUUUCUUUCAAUUAAGAUAAAAUCAAAAUCAUAUCAUAUAGUUUGACAGAAUCACUGUAUUAUUUAAUUAUACUAUCAUACUUGAUAAAAGCUUAUAUUAUGAGCCUGAUAUUAUCUUUAAAUAUUAAAAUAUUAUUAAUUUAUCGAUAUAUUAAUAUUUACUCAAUUUAUGAGGUUAUAAUGUAUUUAUACUUUUCUCGUAUCAUAUCCCGCAAAAUCUAAAAAAAGUAUCUUAAGAGUAAUUGUAGAAAUCGCACUAAAUUAUUUAUUAAUCACAUCGGUUGUCACAUAAAUUGAAAUUCAAGAGUUUAGACUCCGCAUAAGAGUUAAGACUUAAAUACUGAGACCCUAACAUAUUACUGGAAUGAAUUAUUAUCGAUAGACCUAUGAGUCAACAUAAUCUUAUCAAAUAGACAACUAGAAUGUUGAGGAAACGAAGUACAUAGAAAUCGAAAUGCGUAGUUAUAAUUAAUUAACCAGCCAUAACUUCGGGAACCAACGAAUAUGUAUUGGAAGGCCGCGGGAGAUUAACAAAAGUUCGCUUCCCACACCGUGCUAGAAUAAACAUAGUACUUUCCUUUUCCAAUGCACCAAACAUUAAGCAGUUAGCAAACGUUGCAUUGAAUGUGCAUUUGCUUGUAUUUACUUGCAAAAGUUUUGCUCUUAUCAAUAACACCUAGAUUGCAUUGUGCACAUGAUACUCAUGUCUGUAAAUUAGCUGUAACGAAUUGGUACGAACUUAUGAGCCUUCAGCACUAGAGAAAUUUUAGAAUAUAUCAAAAAUAUCUUGCUGAUAACUCUAUAAAAUGAGAGUUAUCCUGACACUAUUAGACUUAAAUCAAGAUUACUUAGAGAGUAAGUGAUAUUUUUUUAAUUGCAUUUUAGUUAUAUUUAGCAUGAAUAUCCAUUUUAGUUUAUUUUUAAUAAAUUACGUUGUUUUAUAAUAAUUUGUGUGCUUAGAUCGUAUGUAUAAUUGUAGGUGAUCGGAAACUCAAAUUUCAAGGGAGGAAUGCUGCUACAAUAGGCUUGCAAAAAUAAAGAAAGAACAUGGUUAUAGAAGAAUUGAAACAAGUCUAAAAUAGUGCAGGUGCUGAAGCCAUUACUAUAACACUGUUGCUAUAGUAAUUCUGGAGCAUUGAUAAAGAAGAUUUCACGCAAAAUACUUAGAAGAUUGCGAUAUGGAGUUUCCUAAAAUGGAAGAUAUGCGCCCUAGACUUUUGGUUGCUCUAAUUCUAAGAUAUAGAAGGAGCCACACUCAAAGAAAAGAAGAGAGUCGUCACCCAAGGAGAAAAACCGCAAAGAAACAAAAGAAAAACAUAAUUCAAGAGAGAGAUUGAAGGCUGCACUAGCGAAGAAAACACAUAGAUCCAUUGAAAAUCAGUCAUUCUUGUUCUUUUCUUGUUUUUAUUUAUUCACGGGGAUGUAUUUCGUGGCUAAAACUCUUUUAUUUAUUUUUCUUUCGCAAAUCAUGAAAUAAAUUUGAUUGUAGUUGAGUUAUGAAUGAUCUUAAUGGGUGUUUGACUGACAUAUUCGUGGUAAUCUGUAUUUGCUGCAGCAGUUUAUCUUAAUUGUAUUUAUUUUCUACGUCAUGUUGCUUUGCCGCUCGUUGUGGCAGUUGCUGUAAUUGAAAAUUGAAAUAAGGUUAUCAAUAGCAUUAAAUACCCACCGCAUGAUUGAUGAUUUUCAACAUAAUUCGUAACCAAUAAUGAUUUUUGUAAUGGUAGUAUGGCACCCACUAGGGAUGACAAUAAAAUUCGGAUUCGGCCCGCAUCCGCAAGGAUCCGGAAGAUCCGGAUCCAAAAAAAUUCGGAUCCCAUGUUAAAAAAUGCGGAUCCGGAUGUAAGAAAUUAAAAUCUGCACGAAUUCGGAUCCGGAUUGAGAUACAAGUGCAUCUGGAAAGUCGGAUAUCCGGAUCCGAUUAAUUUUUAUAUUAAAUUAAAAAAUAUAUAUUAACUUACUUAAAAACAAAUUUAACCCAACUCUCACAUUCACACACACGCUCACAACACUUUACCAGCAGCCACAACCCACAAAUCCCUAACACCCAAAUCCCCCAAAUUCCGUAGGAUGUCGUCGUCUGCCUCACGGCCUCGCCUAAGCCUCGUGUCCAAGCCUCGAUCUGAGUCGGUUGCUGUCGCUACGUGCUGCACGCCUCGAUCUGAGUCAGUUGCUGCCACUACAUGCUCGAUCUGAGUUAGUUGUUGCCGCUACACGCUCGACCUGAGUUAGUUGCUACUGCGCCUCGCCUCGCUGCGUGCUACACGCCUCGAUUAGGUUUUAAUUUGAAAAAAGUGUUGAAUUUUUAAAUUAUAUUUAAAUUAUUAAAUUUAAUUUUUGUUGAUCCGGAUAUUCGGUAUAUCCGCCUGCAAUCCAGACGAAUAUUACCCACAUCUGGAUCCGCAAAAAAAAAUUUCCGGAUACGAAUCCAAAUCCAAAUAUAAAAAUAUCAAUCCGGAUAUACCUGUAUCCGAAUUUUGCCAUCCCCAGUACCCACUGCCCGUGCAAUAAUACAUUGACCAUUGAUGCAAUAAGGUAUGGGGCCAUGAAACUCAUCCAAUUCAUUCAUUCACGUGUCCUGCAUUUAUUAUCUCCACUUCACCUUCUUCAACAUUUAUUGCCACCAUCAAAUUCCACAAUGUUCGCCCUUGAAAGUUUUUAUUAUUCAUGUUCAAGAGGGGUCCGCCUGUAAUAAAGCGCUGCAUAAGAUACAGCGGAAGUUUAAUUUUUUAUUCUAAAUUUAUUGGCCGUUAGAUUACUUUAUAAGCAAUCCAACGGCUUCGUAAUUUUAGGCAUAAAAUAGGUCACCGAAACAGAUGGUGGAACACUGGAAUCGGCAAAUAUCCUGGUAAUUAUCACUUUGCUCCCUCAUCUUUUAACUAAAUAUUAAAGACUUCAUUUAAUUUAGACGACUAUCAAAGACCCCCUAACAUAAUAAUAUAUUUUAAAACAUGUAAUGUUGUAAAUAACGUGAAUAAUAUUUAUAUUAGUGUAAACUAUAUUAAUUAUAAAUCAAUGCAAUCAUUUUUAAUAAUGAAAUUGAUCAUAAACAACUUAUAUCAUUGUUUAUUAUGACAUUAUAAAUCUACAAAUGUUUUGCAAUAUAAAAAUUAGUGAGACCUCUUUAAUUUUUUUUCUUUUGCAAAUUUUUGCCUAUUUGGUCAACUCUAUAUUAUUGAUAGUACCAAGUAUUGUCAUUACUCAAAAUAUUUUUGUUUUCAAUAUUAUUUGUACUAGUGACUAAUAUAAAUAGUACAAUUUAGUUCUGGAUAUGGGUAACUAUAAGAUGAAAAAUCUUAUUAAAAAUAUUUCACACAAAUUUCUAAGAAAUUCAUUAAAUUACUUUUUAUGGUCUCAUUUACUCACUAAUUUGAAGUCACAAAAAAUUCUAUGAAUUGUUAUAGGAGCUUAUACAUGAUUACAUGUAAUGUUAAUAUUUAAUGAUAUUGUUUUAUUACUAGUAUUAUGAUUAAUGAUACUAUAACUCUUAAUAUCCAUUACUAAUGUUGUUAAUAAGUAUCUUUGUUAGCCUUACUAUUAUUAUUGGUAAAUUGAACACAUAUAUGAUAAUUUUAUCAAUAUCACUUUUCUUUUAAUCAAAAUGAGCGUAUGUUCUAAAUAUAACAACAUUUUAUCGUAAUAAACUUUUUAAUAAUUUAUUGAGAAAUGUUGCUAAUUAUCAUUGUAAAUUAUUGUCGACAUUAUAUUAUAAAAGCUAAAUAAUUAAUAAUGUAACUAUAAUAUUACAUUGUUAUUUAAAAUAAAGUAUGUAUCUCUUUGUAUAUUUAUGGGAGUAGGUUUUUGAGUUAAUAUUCGGUGGAUCGUUGGACUUUACCAUAAAGUGCAUGUAUACAGAUUAUCAAAUACCAUUAAAUUAUAGUUUAUAAUGUACAUAUAAAUUGUAAAUUUAAAAAUAUUAUAUAAUAUAUUACUCUAAAUAGUAUUCAAUUAAUUUUUUUUAUUUUGAUAUAACACUAAAAGAAUUUUGCUUCAUCUAGGCAGGAAAACUACUGCCUAAAUGAAAACAUAUUUACCCAUUUUCACAAUUUUUAAUUCUAAUAAUUUUUGUAUAUUAUUUAAAUUUUCAUAUUUUAUAUUAUUAUUCUUGAUACUUUUUUUUCAAAAUAACUUUAUUUAUUGUUCAGAAACCUAAAAAGAAAAUAUAAAAUUUAUUUUUUAAAAUUUCAUCAAAAAACAUAUCCUUUAGGCCUAAGGUUUCGUUUGUCGCUUCAUACAUUAAAAUAUAUAUUUUUUAAUCAUUAUUAAUUUUUUUCAUGAUUAAUGUUCUUAAUUUUUUUCUUGUCUUGUUAAAGUUUUGUAAUUAACUUAAAUUGUAUAACAUUUUGAAUUGUCAUUUCAUUUUUUUAUAAGUCUUUUUUUUUAAUGUUUUAUGCUUCCAAUAUAGAAUGAUUGGCAAGGGAAAAUAUUGCAAAGCAUUUGACGCAGAAACUGCUAUUGGCAUCCUCUCAAGUGGUUGAAUCCAAGUAAGGCUGGUGAGCAGCCCAAGCUUCAGCUGGCUGUCUCCAGAUCAAAGGGGAAAUAGAAAUAAUAAAAUUAGUUUUCUAUAAUCCCUUGGGAUUAUUUUAUCUUUUUUUCUCUAAUGGUGCAUAGUUGAGUAGUGAACAAGAAUUGGCAUUGGUUGUAAAUGAACUUUUUUUUUAAUUUGUUCUCCAAAAGAAAGAUGGUGUAGAAAUAAUUUCUCUUAAAAAUUAUAGCAUUGAAUUUUUCUAUUAGAGAAAAUUAAUUUUAAUAUUUAAUAUAUUUUCUUUUUCCUUGAUUGCAAUGAUUUUCUAAUGUGUUUAUAAAAUUAUUGUUUAAUUUGAGUUACUUUUAUUGUGUUUAAUGUACUUGGUAAAGAUAAAUUAAUGGCGACUUAAUAGAACUGGAUUUAAGUCAAUGUUACUUUGUCAAUCUUAAGCUAAAGAUUGAUGAGAGAUUAAAGAAAUAAUUUUUAAAACUAAAUAUAAUGAUGAAAAUUAUAUGUUGCACAAUUGUUUUUAAAAAAAUCUAAGCACAAUUAUGUAAAAUAAUAAAAUGAGCAUUAAUAUGUAAAAGAUCAAAAGUUUAAAGUAUACAUACGAUUAAAUUCAAGAAAUACCAUGAAGUAACAAAGACCGUUGGGAGCCGGGGGGGAGGGGAGUGGACUUAUACAAAUUCAUAGUGUUGAAAAAAAUUGAGGGUUGCAACAAUGAUUUUUCAAAAUUAUAUUGUAAGUUGAUAUUUAUUAAAAAAAAGCGGGGUCAAACGUAAUUUACCUCAAUAUUUUAAUGUUUUACUAUAAUAAAAUGCGACUCGUAACAACCACCUAAAAUGUUGGCAUACGUAAAAACAUUUGGAAUAUAAAACCAAAAAAAUGGUGGAAGUAACUAUUAAAGAGCUGAACCCAUAAAUUGGAACGACUUACUGAUGAUUUGGUAAAUUUCAAUGGGAAUUAGAGACAUGAAAAAUAAACUUGAAACACACACCUACAUGUUGGAAUUCAAUAAAAAGUCUUGGUAUAUAGAACCAAAAAAUAGUGGGAAAAAAGUGGGAGAGUUAACCUGAAAGUUGGAAUUACACAACGAUAAUUUGAUAAAUUCCAAUGGGAAAUAGGGACUAAGAAUUGAAUUUGAAACUUUCACCCAAAAUGUUGGAAUUCAUUAAAAAAAACCUGGAAUAUAUAACUAAAAGGUACUGGAAAUAAAAGUUGAAGAACUUAACACAAAAGUUGGAAUAACUUAUUAACAAUUUGAUAAAUUCUAAUGACAAGUUGGAAUCUAAAAAAUAAACUUGAAACUUCUAUUCAAAAUAUUGGAAUUCAUUAAAAAAAGUAGAAAUAUAGAACCAAAAAGUGGUGGGAACAAGAGUUGAAGAACAUAACGCAAAAUUGGAAACGGCUCACCCACAAUUUGAUAAAUUCCAACUAUAAGUAGGGAUCCAAAAAGUGAAAUUGAAACAUACACCCGAAAUUUUAAAAUUCAAUAAAAAAAGUAGAAAUAUAAAACAAAAAACUAGUAGGAAAAAGAGUUGAUGAAUUUAACCGAAAAGUACGAACAAUUUACCAGGAAUUUGAUAAAUUUCAACAGGAAGUAGGGAUAUAAGAAGUGAACUUGAAACAUCCACCCAAAAUAUUGAAAUUUAAUAAAAAGAGAAGGAAUAAAUAACCAAAAAGUAGUGGGAAUAUGAAUUGAAGAGCCUAACCCAAAACUUGGAAUAACUUAGCAAGAAAUCGAUAUAUUUUAAAGAGAAGUAGGGAUCUAAAAAUGAACUUAAAAUAUCCAUCCAAAAUAUUGAAAUUCCAUAAAAAGAGUAGAAACAUAAAAGGAAAAACUGGUGGUAAUAACAGUUGAUAACUUUAACCUAAAAGUCGGAAUAACCUAACAAAGAAAUUGAUAAAUUUUAACAGGAAAUGGGGAUCUAAAAAGUGAACUUGAAACUCUCACCCAAAAUAUUAGAAUUCAAUAAAAAGAAUAGGAAUAUAGAAUCAAAAAGUAGUGGCAACAAGAGUUGAUGAACUCAACUCAAAAAUUGGAAUAAUGGACUAAGAAUUUGAUAAAUUCCAAUACGAAGUAGGGCUCUAAAAGUAAACUAGAAAUAUCUACCGAAAAUGUUGAAACUCUAUAAAAAUAGUUGGAAUCUAGGACUUAAAAGUGGUGGGAAAAUGAGUUGGAAUAACUUACCAGAAAUUAGAUAAAGGCUAAUGGAAUGUAGGAAUGUUGAAAGUAAACUUAAAAUAUCCACGUAAAAAGUUGGAAUUUAAUGAAAAAAGUGAAAAUAUAGAACCAAAAACUGGUGGAAAAAUGAGUUGAAAUAACUUACCAAAAUUUAGAUAAAUCGUAACAAAAAAAUAGGAAUUUGAAAAGUAAACUCGAAACAUGCACUAUAAAUAUUGAAAUGUGACAAAAUAAGUGGGAAUAUAGUUAUUUUGUGACUUGUUUAUAAUACUUGUAUAGUUUCUUGUACUAUUUAUAAAUUUAAAAUUAUUAUAUUCUUUUGCUUCAUUUAAUUACAAUUUUAUCUUUUUUUCCCUAUUUUUUUCAUAUUUUUUUCGCAUUAAAAACAAAUUAAAAUGUAAUAUUUAUUAUGUUAACCGGUUAAAAACCGGUUGUACUGGUUGCGUGCAUGCGCUGUAUGAGAUACAGCGCUGCACUGUAGGUUGACUCGUUAAAGAGAUUGUUCUGCUUGGGCCUCUUGGCCCUAGCUAAUGCAUAAUCAUCAAAUCAUUGGCAUGGAAAAGUCUUUUGGUACACAGACAAUUUUGCAUAUGUUGAUCAUUUAAUAGAACUUUUAUCAUUAUAUCUAACUAUUCCUACGAUACAAUAUUUCAUUGGAUAUGAACAUAUAUGUCUUGCCGAGAGUAUACAUAAAGCUUAUAUUUAUUUUUACUACCGUUCAAUAAAAUCAUGCUAUUUAUACAAUCAUCAAAAAAACAAUAUGUAAUUUUUUUAGGAGAAAUUUUUAUUGAAGUAAUUUUGGGAUAAGAACAUUUCGGUUCAGUAGUUUCCAAUGUUAUUUUUCAAGUACGGAUGUAGCUCGUCCAAUUACAUCAAAUAGGUCCAUGAUUCCUCCCAAGUUUUGUUUUGUUCUUCUUCUUUUAAUAUCACAUUACCACAAUCUCUUAAUCAAUUCUAUAAUGGCAAAAUUUAAAUAUUUUGUUUGGAUUUAGAAUAAAUGGAACCUAUUUUUGAAUGAUUAAAAGAAAAUUAACCUCACAAAUACACAUAAGUAAACUCAAACUUUGUGGAAAGAGAAUUAAUUUACUAUUAGGUUAUUGGAUGGUUCUCUUGACCCUUAAUUUUUUAAGAAAAAAAAAGGAGAUUAAGGCCCUAACCCCAUUUGAGAAGUAUCUAAAUGCUCUUUACUCUGUAAUAGUUUUGGCAUAGUCUUACAUUCUUAAAAUUCAUUCAAAUGGAGAAGUUAGUGGACUAAUUUAAAAAAAAAAUAAAGAUCUAAAGUUAUUAACCGUUUUCUAAUUUUCUAUUAAGAAAUUUUUUGCUGGAAUAUGGAAACCUAUAAGCAAUUGCGAAUGUAUUGACCGCAAUUUGCAAAACUCGGUGACUCUGGAAUGAUCUCUCCGCGUACGCGUGAGUGCGUGUCGGUAUAAAUAUGAAGGACUUAUCACAUUGCCCACAUUGACGACCCACCCCAACAAUUAGGUUACAUGCCUCUUUCGUCAUAAAAGAUUAUCAAUUCUUAAUUAAUUUGGCUCUUUUCUGCCGUCCAAAAAAUCUUAAUUUCCCAAUGUUAGAUUUGAAUUGAUUGAAGAGUUUGAAACUAUUGGCACCUCUUUAAUAACUUCUUAAAACUCUUUUCUUAACGCCACCCAUUUAAUAAUUAGAAUAAGUUAAACUUUUUGUUUGCACCUAUUUUUAUUACUUAAAUACCCUUGUUUUCAUUUUCUUCUUUACUAAAAUCCCACAUUUUUCGUUGUAUAAGUGUGCAAUAUCAUAAUAUGGUCUUCUUUCUUUUGAAUUUUAUUUAUUAAAAAAUUUCAUUAAAAUUUGAAAAUAAACCCACAUUAUUAUCUAUAAUUUGUCUAUCUAUAUUUUUCACUACUUAAACCCAUAUGAUUUUAAAAAAAAAUUAUUUUAUCAAAUUAUUAUGAGUAAUUUUCCUAAUGAUAAAAGUGGAGUGGUUAUAGAAAAUUUAUUAACCAGUUAACUAAAACUAAAUAUUGAAGUAAGUAAACUUGUAGAUUUUAUAAUGAAUUAUUAGAUGUUCUUGGUUUUUGCAAAAAAACAUAAUCAGCAUUAAAGAGAUGAUUGUUAUUCUUUUAUAUGCUUAUAAUCAUGACUUAAGUAGUAAAUAUAAAGAAGGGAUUUUAAAGGGUGACAAUAACUCCACUCUUGAUUGAAUUUAAUUUUUUGAUCACGGAAUGCAAAAAUUUCUUUUUUUUUUUCAAAAUACAUGGGGUAUACUAAGGAUAAAAUUAUGUUCUAAUCAUGGUAUCGUAAUCCUCUUUUAUUUUCUAUGAUUCAACCCUUUAUUUUCUUUCUUAUUAAUUUAUUUAUAAGGACAACGAUAAUUUUAUUUUUCCAUUCUUCUACCCUUCUUCUCCAUAUUCUACCCAAUUUUCUCUGUUUAAUCAUUAAUCAACCACUAGUGAUGAACCUCUUAUGAUUAAAAAAACAGUAUUAAUCAACCAAUUAUAAUUAACAACAUCCAACUUCUUUGCAACUAUUGGUUCGUUCCCUUAAUUGCAAGAGCUUGAUCAUUAACAUUUAUUUUUACUCCGUACAACAUUGAUAAUGCCAAAAUUGACCUUACCUAAAUAAGACUAUUUUUUUUUCUUUUAACACCUAUAAAAGUAUUUAAACAUAUGUAGCUAAUUUUUAUGUCGACACAUUUAUUAACAACACUGUUAGUACCAAAAUUGCAUUAGCUAAAUAAGACUAUUUUUUUUUUCCAAACAUCCAUAAAAAUACUUAUCAAACAUUUAGGCUUUAGCUAAUUCCUAUGUUGACACAUUUAUUAGUCUACAAAAUGCCUUCGUUUAGAGUAGUUGCGAAAACUAUUAUGAUUUUUUGUUUUAAUUUUCUAAAUCAAAUCCAUUUUUCUCCAGUUUUUUUUUUCUCCGGUAGCCAUUUGCCCAUACUUAUGUUUUGCCCCCAUCCACCCCUCCCCCCCAAAAAAAAGUCAACAACACAAUUCUUCUAAUGAUCGAUUGAUUUUUUUUAUUUUGCCCCUUAAUUUCCUUCUUUUUUUAAAUUGCACCAUGCUAUUUUCUUGCACUGAUAUUGUUGCUUCUUUUUUUUAUUCAUUUUCUUUUAUUUCUACUUUAACUGCAAAACUACUUUUUUUGGUAAAUAAUUAAUUUGUUGAAUUUUUUCUAUUGUAAGGAAAAAUGUGGCAAGUCAAAUAAUGAGAGCAUGAAAGGAUGUGAGCAUGAGACCGUGAGAACAUUUAAGCAUGUAAGCAUGAGGGCACGUGAGCAUGGGAGCAUAUGAGUAUGUGAGCAUGAGAUAAUGAGAGCAUGUAAGCAUGACAACAGAAGAGCAUGUGAGCAUGCUAGUUCAGUAGAAAGUUUAAUAAGUCAAUUAAACAUAACUAUAUACGAGCAUGAGAGUAUAUGAUCAUGAGAUAAUGAAAAACAUGUUAGCAUGAGAGCAUGCAAGCUCAGUAGGAAACUAAUAAAUCAAUUAAGCAUGUUACAUGAAAGCAUGAGACCAUGAGAGCACGUGAUCAUGAGAGCAUGUGACCAUGGGAUCACGAGAGCACGCGAGCAUGUACCAGAGCAUGAGAGCAUACAAGCUCAGUAAAAAGCUUAAUAAGUCAAUUAAGUACAACUACACUCAGUAGGAAGUUUAAUAAGUCAAUUAAGCACAGCUACACUCAGUAAGAAGCUUAAUAAGUCAAUUAAACACAGUUACAUAAGAGCAUACAAGCUCAGUAAGAAGCUUAAUAAGUUAAUUAAGCUCAAUUAAAUGAAAGCAUAAAGUCAAAUGAGCAGAACUGUUAGAGAGAAUGAUUGCAACACAACAUUGUGAAAACUAGGCACCAAUAGCACAAGAGCGCUACCAUGGGAAAUGAGUUUAACUAAAAAACCCCAGCUGGUGAAUCUAAUAACUAGGCACCAAUAGUUGGAAACAUUAUCAAAGCCUAGUAAAAGAAAUUAGAAGCUCUUGAAGCACAAAGCGAGAUAAAAAAGGAGAUAGAUGUUGGAGAUAAGUAUUGAUAUUAGAUAAAACUUAAUCUAAGAAGGAGAUAAAUAUUGAUGUUAGAUAAAAGUUUAAGUGAUAAAGAUGAUCAACAAGAGGAAUUAUCGAGGAAUCGAGAUAUAAAUUUUAUUAUAAAUAGAGAAUCCAUGAUGCAUAGAGGUAUAAGAGUAAAUAGUUAGACCAAAAAAAAUAAAAAAAAAAGAGCUUCAUUGUAAUUCUUAUUUAAUAGUGAACAUUACUCUUUCUAUACCCAUAGAUAUAGCUAAGUGUUAAACCACAUAAAUUCUCUAUGUUUUUUUUUCUUAUAUCAUCACAUUAUUUAAUUCUCUAGUUGAUUAGAAAUUAGCGUCAACAUUUAAAAAAAAAAGCAAUGCCCUUAAUUGCAAAUCACAUUUGGGUAUUUUGUAAUUAAAAUUUUUGAUAAAAUAUUAGUUUGCAGAGUAUUUUGUAGGGUGAAAAUACUCUCAUCCAAUUUUUAAUUAUCUAAUUAUUUAUUAAUUUGAAAUAGUCCAAAUUUAUUGAAACGUUUUAUUAUUUAUAAUUUCAGUACACAACAAGGGCUGCAAUGUUAAUAACCAAUUUAACGCAUCCACCUGCUAAAACUACUGUUCCAUAAAAUCUAAUGGUGACAACACAAACACCAAAAAAAAAAAAAAUUUGGGGGUAUUUUACAACAGUUGUAGGGUAGUUAGACCGGUCUACUAAUAGUUUAAAUACAUGUACUUUUACUACAAAUUAAAUAUGAGUAUAAUUGGAAAAUUUAUAUUUACUGGACAUGAGGCCUUCACCCUUAUAUUUAAGAAAAUAUAAAUGCUUCUAAUAAUAUUAGAGAAAGUAUAUUUAUUAUUGCUCAUAAUUGCAAGAGAAGAUUCUUAUUAAAUGCAGGUUUAGUAUAACUUAUUUAAUGAUCAUAAGUGAUUAUGUAAUUUCUAAAUUUUUUAAAAUUUUUUUUGUAUUGUCUAGCAGUACUUUGAGAGGAGUUUUGGAGAUUAAGUACCUAUUUGCUAUGAUUUAUCUAAUGGUCAUAAAUACUUAUGUAAUUCCACAAGCUCUUUUUAAAUUUUUCGCUUAUUUAAUUAUUUUUUUAGUAGAGCUUUUGAAGAUUAAAUGAGCUAUAUUGAGCUUGAAUUUUAGGUUUUUGAGACUAGAUGUUUAAUUUUAUUUUUAAAUUAUAUAUCAUAUAGUUCAGCCUCUUUUUUAAAAUGUUAAAAUACCUAAAAUGUCAUUUACUUAUUUGUCAAACAUAUUUCAUUCCUUUCAUAACAUAUUUUUAAAAAAGCUUACCAAUUAAAAUAAUUUUAUAAUUUCAAUAAAAGCUCUUGUUGACAACCAAUUUUUUUUUCUUUUUUGGUAAAAACUUUAUUUAUAAAAGCUUUAAAUAACCUUAUUUGAAAAGUUAUACUAAAAAGAGUCCAAAUAACCUACUAUACCUCUAUUAACAACUCAAAUUCUGAGCUUUUGAAAGUAGAUCUUAAAAAGCAUUUUUUAAUAGUUAAAUUAUCUAAAAUAUUCUUUAUUUGUUACACAAUAUUAUUUCAUUUAUUUCAUAAUAUAAUUUUAGAAAAAUUAUCAAUUGAAAAUAAUUUUUUUAUAUUUUUUAAUAAAAAUUCUCUUUGAUAACUAAAUAAUUAAAAAAAAUUUAAUAAAAACUCUAAUUUUUAAGAAACUUUGAAUUGAAAGGAGAAGCCUUAGGAGUUAGGAGGGUGGAAAUAUCAACUGAAACAUGCAAAACAUGAGAUUUGAUGAUAAUCAAAGUCAAAUCAUCUAUUUAAGCUGGAACAAAUUGGAUGGCGUAAAUAAUCGGUGAGGGGAGGUGGGUAUAAUUAAUGAGAAUGACUAAAAUUAAAAAUUUAAUUUAAUUAACAUAGUUGUAUUGUCGGCUAUUUAUGAUUGGUUUUUGUAGUUUGUUUGGUAAACACUAGCUGCUUAAUUUGAAAGUUAAAUUGAUUUGAUUUUACAUUUAUAUAGUGAAAAAUCUAUUAUAUCUUUACUAAAUUUGCCAAAAUUAUUAUUUAAAAAUUAUAUUUACUACGUAAUAAUAACUUUUAUUUCAUAAUUAUAAUUUUUUUUUAUAACAGUUGUGGUUUAAAAGUUACAACACCUCAAUCCAAACAGGACCUUGGAUAUUUGCCCUUUUCACACAUUGGCAAAAAUUCAGUGCGUAAACAAUAAAAGAAAAGAAUUUUUUGUUGGGAGUACAGAAUGUAUGUUUAGUGUUUACCACUUACCUUAACUAUUGCAUAAUAUUGGCAUCAAGUACCAAAAUUAGUACUUAGCCUUAGAACUCUGCAACACAUACUUUUAAAAUAAAGAAAAUUGAGGGCAUGUUUGGAAUUGCUGUAAUUUAAAGAAUAAUUUGUUUAUACUCUGAUGAAAAAAUAACCAAUUAUACGAUACAACAAUUAGGAGUUUGGUUAAUUUUAUUGUUAAAGGUGCUAUAAGCGUCAAAAACACUUUGUAUGCAUUUAGUUAUUAAAAUGUUUUGAUGCGAUAUAAUGACCAUAAGAAACAAAGAAUAAAUUGCUCACACACAUUUUUUUUAAAAUUUUUCUAACACUCAAAUUUGUACAAUAUGAAAAAGUAAACCACUAAUUGAAAAUUCUUUGAACUUUAUAAUUCAUAGGAAUAUGUUAAUGAACAUAUAUAUGUUAAUGAACAUAAAAAUAUGCAUCAACUACAAUUAUCCUGGUAAAUCAUAUCAUAAAUUGCUUUUAAAAGAAACCCUACUACCUCUUUAAUCAUGGAGCUUGGGACAAUGUAGCCAUUUUUAAUGAUAUUAAAACAAGGUCUGAGGAAAUCCAUCAUACUGUUACCAUGCCUCUUCUUAUGGGAAACAUACGUGUUGAAAAAUGGAUUGGAUGGACUCCUCCUACCUCGCCUUGGUGCAAACUAAACACCGAUGGAACUAGGAAGCAAUCUGGAGCAGCGAGUGCUCUACUUCGAGACCAGAAUGGCAGAUGGAUUAUUGGCUUUGGCAUGAAUAUAGGCAUGUGUUCAGUUAUAAUGGCGGAACUUUGGGGUCUUUAUCAAGGACUGUGCAUGGCCUGGCAGCAAGGAUGUCGUUGGAUAUCUGUUGAAGUGGAUAGCCUUGUGUCACACAACUAGUCUCAAAUCCAGUGGCUCACACAUAUGAAUAUGCCCCUCUCCUUCAAGCCAUAAAGGAUCUCAUCAAGCAAGGUUGGUGUUGGGGAAAAAUCAGGUUUUUAAAUUUAUAUAAAACCUUUUGAAGAUCGCUCUCAUAUAAUAUAUAAGAAUUCGUAUUCUAGAAAUCGUACCUUGAAAAUCCGAGUUGGCUUUUUCCGCUGAAGUGAUUUAGGCUCCUAGAUCACGAUCCCCCACCACCACUCCUGUUAGAUCACGAUCCGUCACCACCACGCUUGUUAGAUCACGAAUUGUCACCAAUGAUCUUCCAGGUUAUGACUCAGGUUCGAUCUGCACUUGACGUGUGGGCGCCUUUAUCACUACCAAAGCAACUAGCAUGAGAAAAUUUUUCUCUCAACAAUAGAGAGAAAAAUCUUAUUCUCCGAUCUGUAUAAAGUGGCUUCACUCUUUUUCUUUAGAGAAAAAUAAGCCUUUUAUAUCACCCUUUAGUGAAAACCCUAGGCUCCAAAUAAUUCAAAAACCAAAACCCACGUUAUUUGCUUUUUCAAUAGGGGACCCACCUUGUAAAAUAACAUAAGGCCCCUUAUACAAAAGCUAAUUAAAUGGAGCCUCCCACUAAAUGAUAUAUUUAGGCUUUUGACCCAAAUAGCUAGUUAUCUUACUUAUUAGUCCAGUAGUGGUGCAGUCAAUUAAAUGAGCUAACCCGGGGAUCAUUUGGGAACAUACAAUAGUGGCUACAAUAAUUAGGCAUGUAAUUAAACUAGCCCAAUUAUUUAAUUCCAAAUCUACUCCACUAAAAGAUUGGAACUGACUUCCAUAAUUGUAUGCUCGAAUAAUAAUUCGUCCCAAGCCACAUUGAUUUCUUUACUGCACAAUCCUUUGUACCACAUCGUUAAUUAAAUUGAUAUCUCAACUGUCCAAUCAAUUUAAUAACAUCUUAUUCCUUGAUCCUUACUGGUUUUCUCUAAUGAUCAUUUUCAACAUACUAAAUAUGUUGACACACUCUGGCCAGAGAAUUCUAUGAUCAAGUGCCGAAACCCCAUCAAGAGAUGUGUUGUACAAAUUCUAUAUUGUUAAUCUAUAACUCCAAUACUCAUAAUUGCUCCCACCAAGAUACCGGGUAAUCUUGACCACAAGGAUGUGUCGUGCCCAUUGGUAACUCAAAUGGAAUAACAAUUACAAUCAUGAAAUCAUAAUUAACUCAAGAUUAAGAUUACAGUAAAAUCAACGCCUAUGAGAUUUAAUAAGUCUGACAGUUAUUACAAAGUUAAUUAAAUCUCAUAUGUGAUCCUGUUCAAUGUAGUUGUACUACAUCAAUAAAUUCAUACAUGAUUAAGACAAAUCAUUCAAUGAAUUUAUUACAGUCUAUACCUAAAUAAAGUGCCCAACUUUAUUUAUCAACUGCGAACUAAAUUUAUUUAAUCAUAAGAUAACUUGUAUUUAUGUCUUCUGUGAAUCCACAUGGUGAUCACAUAAAUACAUAUAAUAUGAUUAAAUGGACUUUAAUACAAGUAUUAAUGCAAUUAAGAUAUUUGAAUAAAAUAGCUCAUUUAUUUUAUUAAUCAGAAAAAUAGUUUAUUACAAUUAAAUAAACACAUAUGCUUUUAAAGAGCAUAUUUUCCCAACAGUUGGCACAUCACCGUUCGACAUGUUUUUCGUGAAACAAAUCAUGCUAUUGAUUUCUUAGCGAAUUAUGCUCUCUCUGCUCCCUUGGGCUUUCAUAUUUUCUAUAACCCCCCUCCUAGUUUGGCUUCAAUUAUCACUCGUGAUAUGUAUGGGGUAGCUUAUUCCCGUCUAAUUUUAUCCUAACCCUUUUAGAGACCCAUUAUAUAUAUAUAAAAAAAAAGCAACCCUACUACCUGGUGCUAAAAUCGAGAAAGGAUGAUUGUCACUCCAACUCUAAACAUACUUCUAAUUUAUUAUUGUUUGUCACAAAUGAAAGAGAAAAAGAAAAUUAAUUAAAAGGCAGGAACUUUUUAAAACACAAGAAGUACGAAAAUAAAAUUUUAAAAAUGAUGCCUCUCCGACGAAGCUACGGUGCCCCGGGUGCACGGUACCCUUAUUUUUGAUAAAUUACUUUGCAGUCCCUCUUGUUUGUUGAAAAGUGAAAAAAUUAGAAGUUUUGAAAUUUUAAUAUAUAAGUCCAAAAUAUUUCUACUAUUUACACUUAAGAGUAUAUUUCGAUUAUUUAUAUUUGAAUACUAAACCAUAAUUGAUUAUUAUGAAAUUUUUUAACAUUGUCAUUUGGUCAUAUUAUUAUUGAUAAAUUAAAAUUUAAUUAUAUAUUUAAAUGAUUUAUUAUUGAUUAAAUAGAUGUUAUAUUGUUUCUAAAAAUUGUUUAAUAUUAUUGAUAAAUUAAUAUAUUUUAUUUUAUAUUUAAAUUAUUUAUUACAGAUUAAAUUAAUAUUAUAUUAUUUUCAAAAGAUAAAAAAAUAUUUUAUGUAUUAAAAUUUGUUUUCAGGUUAUUGGCCUUAUAUUGUCAUUAAUUUUAGUAGUAAAUUAGAUCAAUUGAUCAAAAUAUAAAAUUUAAAAAUUAUGCAAAAUUAUUUGUCAAAUUUUUAACUAUUUUGCUUUUUUGAAACACAACGGGGAUGUCAAUGUUAAGAACCAAAGAGAAUACAUCCAUGCCAUUGAAACAAAUUUUGCAUUAAAUCUAAUGGGCAACUCAUAUAUGGACAAAAUGUGGGAGACCAUGCACUAGGUGCACGGUAGCUGGACCUCUACUUUUGUCUCUCAUCCCGUAAUUUCUAUCAUAUACUUUUCACCGAAAAAUAUUAGCUCAAAAUAACAGCGAGAGUGGCACCGUGCUGCCACAUGUAUAAAUAAUGCAGCAGAUUAUAUAGAAAUUAUAAAUUUUAACACUGCUAAUAGCCUAAUAACAAAUCAAUUUCUUCAUUAUCUAUGAGCACCGAUCUGAACUUAGUACCUCUUGUUUCCGCUCAAUAAAUUUUACUAAUUUAAUUAACAUACAAUGACAGGAAACGAGAGGAUAUACUCCAUUUACUAACUAGUCCUCGUAACAAAAAUUACUCCUUCAUUCACUACAAGGAUUUAUUACUCAUACUUGAGAAACUUCUUCGUGUUUUGCCUAACUUUAGCACGUCGGGCCUAACCUUAACUACCGAAGGUAAAGACUUCAUUCAAAUUUGAGACAGAAUUAAUUCUUCAUAGUGUACUAGAAAACAUCACAAAAUGUCACUGCAAUUUAAGAUCUGGAAAGAGAUCUUAGAUCAAAAACCUAAUGACUUUAUUUAACAGAAGAAAAGUACUAAAACAAAUUUUUUUUAAAAAAAAUCAUAAUAAAUGAACAUAAAACACAAUAAACCCUAUAGAAGUCAUUCCUAGAAAAUAUUUCGUCAAAGAGCCUACACAAAAACCACGACCAUAGGUCUAUAAGAACCUCCUCGCACCACCAUAUCAAAACUCUAUCGAAUUAGAAAAUAGGAAUAUGUGUGUGUGUGUGUGUGUGUGUAUAAAAGGCAGCUGUAUUAUGCACUAUGAAAGUCUAAUAACUCGGCAUCAUCCAAGUGACAGUGUUUACAUUCUCUGAGAUGACCCCACAAUAAUGGUACAAGUGUGACUAGUUGAAAGGUCGUGGAAGCUAUUAACAGCUUUUCACCAGCGAUAAUUAGUUAAUGGAGCCACCUCCACAUUGCACAUGAAGCUUUCUAUUUUCCCCAAGUCCCCACCUACAAACCUCCAAACACUCUCAUAAAUCCCUAAUGCAUUCCCCUCCUAUUUAUUAACCUUACACCAACUUUAGCAAAACGAAACAAAAGCAACACGGAUUAUUCUUUUUUUCCUUUUUUUUUUUGCCCUUUGUGAGCUAGCUAAAGAGGAAGUUUGAGGUUGUAUUUAUUAAAAUAUAUUUUUCCUUUUUGUUGUAUCUGAGUGAUCUAAGCAGAUGGGUAUCGUCUCUUUGAUAACAGGAAGGCCUGGCUCAAGUGGGUUUGGUUCAGCUUCAACUGCUGAGCAGGUUACUGAUGGGAUUGAUGCAACCAAUCUCACUGCUGUCAUCACAGGUUAGCUUCUCUUAUAGCUUUAGCCUUCAAAAGUGUUGAAAAUUGAUUAAAAAAAAGAGGAAAAAAGAAAGGUAGCUUCAAAUUUGGUGGCUUAACCAUCAAAUUUGUUGACCAAAUUUGUUGAUCAAAUUUGAUGGCUAAGCCACCAAUUUUUAUCAAGGUUGGUGGGCUUGAUUUUAGGCAAAAUCUUGCCUAUAAAAGGAAGCUCUCAUUUAAGAGCUUGGUAUCCUAAAUCCCAGAGAAAGAAUCCAAGUUUUGGUGAGAAAUUAAGAGAGAGAAAUAUUCUUAAGCAUGUAGUUAUAUUGAAGGAGCAUUUGGCUCCUCAAUAUGGGUAUUACGGGUUUACUUCGUUAAGGGAUAUUUCUCAGGAUUAUGUAUUUGAGGCUUAGGUGAGAGAAAAUUAUUUCUGAGAGUGGUUGUAAUAAUUUUCCACACAGUGAUUAUUUUUCUCUGGUUGUCUCUCGACAACGGCCGUGGGUUUUCUCCGGAUUUGGAGUUUUCCACGUAAAUCUUGUGUUGUGUGAUUGGUGUAUUCUCCAUUUAAUUUUUCUAUUAAUUUGUUGCUUGAUAAAUUGCUUGGAGUGAUCUUGGGAGGAAGCUCAAUUUCCUAACAGUGGUAUCAGAGCCAUUGAUUGAAGUUUUGGUGUCGGGGUACUGUUCACAUAGACAGUAUUAUUCACGUAUACGGUACUAUUCACGUGAAGUAGUGAGAACCAAUCCAAAUAAUCUGUGGUGAAGAGAAUAGGAAGCAAAUAUGUCAGCAGCUGGUAUUUUUCAAACUUGGUUAGAGUUUGAUGUUGUUGAAAAAUUAAUGGGAGAAUGAUUUUAUUGGCUUGUGGAGAAUUCAAGUCAAAGGUGUAUCCAAUCUGGUAUGCACAAAGAUUUGAAGGUGUGGACAAUUUUGGCACCUCAAGAAAAUUGUCAAGAAGGCAGAGUGGGCUCGGCAAAUUACUCCAGAAUCAGUAAAGAAGAUACUGAUAUUCUCACAGAUGAUGAGUUUCCUUUUAAUAGGAGGUUGGGUUAGUUCUUUUGGCAUGUAGAUCUCCAAGUUGCCAUGAAAGAGAACAUGUUAUGAUCAGCGAGGUCCACAAGUUUGCACGCGGGCAUUGGCUUGGUAUAAAUGCAAGGUGUGUGGUGGAAAAGUUUAUGUCAUGGCUGAACAAUUCUCAAGGAAACCAAGCAUGAGAAUUGCACCAUAAAUUUCAGCAGGAUAUUUUGACAUGUACCGAAAAAAUUUUUAGAAUGGUUGAUUCUAAGUGGUAUACUCUUUAUGGUGGAGUAUGAUAAUUCUCUAUGUUGAGAAUUAUGACUGUUGGUGAAGACAGUGUGUUUGUAGUAGUGGCUAUGAAUUUUUUUUUAAUCAAGGUGGAGAUUGUUGAAAAUUGAUUAAAAAAAAGAGGAAAAAAGAAAGGUAGCUUCAAAUUUGGUGGCUUAACCAUCAAAUUUGUUGACCAAAUUUGUUGAUCAAAUUUGAUGGCUAAGCCACCAAUUUUUAUCAAGGUUGGUGGGCUUGAUUUUAGGCAAAAUCUUGCCUAUAAAAGGAAGCUCUCAUUUAAGAGCUUGGUAUCCUAAAUCCCAGAGAAAGAAUCCAAGUUUUGGUGAGAAAUUAAGAGAGAGAAAUAUUCUUAAGCAUGUAGUUAUAUUAAAGGAGCAUUUGGCUCCUCAAUAUGGGUAUUACAGGUUUACUUCGUUAAGGGAUAUUUCUCAGGAUUAUGUAUUUGAGGCUUAGGUGAGAGAAAAUUAUUUCUGAGAGUGGUUGUAAUAAUUUUCCACACAGUGAUUAUUUUUCUCUGGUUGUCUCUCGACAACGGCCGUGGGUUUUCUCCGGAUUUGGAGUUUUCCACGUAAAUCUUGUGUUGUGUGAUUGGUGUAUUCUCCAUUUAAUUUUUCUAUUAAUUUGUUGCUUGAUAAAUUGCUUGGAGUGAUCUUGGGAGGAAGCUCAAUUUCCUAACAAAAAGUUCAACAUUAUGGUAUUUGGUGGUUUCUUGGACACAUGUGACUCUUUGCGUGCAUCUUUCAAUCAACUUAUUGUUUUCUUUAUUGUUAAAUCUUUUUUUGUGGUGAAGAAUAUGGAACUUUUAUUCAACUAAUUUGUAAUGCCGGCUCUACUACGUUAGUUGAGGCCUUUGGGGAAACUAUGCAUUAGGUUUUAUUUAUUUAUUUGUCAAAGUAAAAUUUUUAAAUUAAAAUUGUAGUUUAAAGCUUUCCUUUCUUGUUUCUUCACAUGAAAAAUCAAUCCUUAUGUGCCAAAAAUAAAAAUAUAUAAUCGUUUACAUUACGUUCUCAUGCUCAAAAUUAUAUAUAAUUCACAAAGGGAUAAAUGUGUCCUUUCAUAUUUUAUUUAGGAAUUUAUUAGAAGAAGUAUAAUUUAAGAAUUUAUGUAAGCAAAUGUUUAUUAAUAUAAGUUUUAGUAUUUUGAUUGAAUUUUUCAAAUAUAAGAAAAUGGGAUCUUUAACUGCAUCCGUUGAGGCACAUACUUGCCUGGGCUUUUGGCCGAUCAUGCAAAUUUGGAUCCAUAUCCCACUGACGUUUGUGUUAUGCCUCCCAGCCCCAAUCUAACCCAUUAACUAGUAAAUAAUAAAACAGGAUUAGAGCUAUUAGCACCCCUACAUUAUUCUCAUAAAACCUCACUUUAAAUAAAAUUACAAUUAAGGAUAAUUGAAAAUUAAACACAUAUAAAUUUUUUUUCCCAGCAAAUUAGUUAAUUCAUAAUCAAUAUUUUUCAAAAAAAAAAUCUAUAUGUUACUUCCUAUCUAAUUAAAAUAAAUUGUAUAAAUUUAGAAUAAUUUAUUGUUCUCUUUUGAUUUCUUAUUGAUUAAAUAUUUUAUACUUAAAAUUGCUUUGAAAUUAUAAUUUGAAAUAUGUGUUAUUUCAACCAAUGAUUAAUACUAAAAAACUUAUCACCCAUACAACUUUUUAAUUUGUGUGUAGAGUAAUAAUAAAAUUGAAAAUAAUUAAAAAAAUAGCACAAUAAUACUUUGAGUUUUAACAAUAAAAUAAAUCAAAUGAAAAAUGAGAAUUUAAAAAAGUGUAUCUAAAAAAAUGAGUAUUUUCGGAAAUAAAAUAAAUAUAGUUUAAAAAAGGGGUUCAAUGAGAAAAUCAGAGGGGUGCCAAUAGUCCAACAGUCCAACUCAUAAAACAGAGGGAGAAGUAUAGGCUUGUUUCGUCAUUGUCUUUGGCCAAUCAUUUUCCGUUUUGCGAAAAUAAUAAAAUGAAAAACAUGUUCUGUAGAACACUUUCUACACAUCGUUUUUCAUUUGAUAGAAAUUGAUGGUAUCCAUUUUCUACUUUUUGUUGAGAAAAGCAGACAAGGAUUAAUUGUCGUUUCAAUUUUACUGCAUCGGAAAUUGGACAAAGUCUCCACAAACUUUUUGGUUUUACUUCAUCAUACUUGCUAUGCCCCAUAUGUCUUCCUUUUUUAUUUAAAAUCUCACAGCAAUUAGAAAAAUAAUAUAUGGGUCCAAAUAUCUUUUAUUUUAUAAUUGCUUCACACAAAUUUUACAAUUUUUAUUUUAAACACUACUUUUAAAACACGUUACUAAAACGCGUUUUUAUAUUCACCAAAAAUUAGUAAUUUUUUAUUAUUAAAAAAAUACAAAAACACUAUUUGAAAAAUACUGUCAAAUGCACCCUUAACUUGUCAAUCAAAUUUAUAAUUCAAAAGUAAUUUUCAAAAAUUGAGUGUGUUUGGUAUUAUUUUUUAAUUGGUGUUUUAUAUACUACUUCAAAAAAAAAACAUUCUUGAUGUGACAUUUUUUAAAUUAAAAAUAUGUUGAAUGGUUUGUUAGGGAUGAUAAUGGGGUGGGGUGGUGUGGGGGUGGAGAGGCCCAUUCCAUUUCCCACUUUAUUAAAAAUUUCGUCUCAAUUUUCUACCCUAUUCCUCAAUAAUUUUAGUGGGGUGGGGAGGGGAAAUCCCUAUGUGGGAAAUGAUUUCUCCAUCUUCACCCCAUUCUCAAUUUAUUUAUUUUAUAGUAAAUAUAGAUACAUGAUUUCAAAAAAUUAAAAAUUAAAAACUUAAAUAAAAUUAUUACCAUAUUAUAAAGUAUUUAAAUUAUUUAAAAAAUCUCCAAAUGUUUGAAAUAAUAUCUUAAAAUGAUAUAAAAUUUUUAAAAAAAAUGUUUGAAGAGAACAUUAUCUUAAGAGAAAAAAAAAACAUAACAAUAUUUUAGGGUUGAAAAAAAAUUAUAUUGUAGAAUUUUCUAAGUUAUACCUAUUAUAUAAAGUAAAAAGAAAAAGAAAAUUUAUUAACUAACAUUGUAAUUCAUAAAGAAAAAAUUAUUAAAUAAAAAUUAGAAAAAAUAUUCAUAUAUAAUGGGGGAUUUGGGGUNNNNNNNNNNNNNNNNNNNNNNNNNNNNNNNNNNNNNNNNNNNNNNNNNNNNNNNNNNNNNNNNNNNNNNNNNNNNNNNNNNNNNNNNNNNNNNNNNNNNNNNNNNNNNNNNNNNNNNNNNNNNNNNNNNNNNNNNNNNNNNNNNNNNNNNNNNNNNNNNNNNNNNNNNNNNNNNNNNNNNNNNNNNNNNNNNNNNNNNNNNNNNNNNNNNNNNNNNNNNNNNNNNNNNNNNNNNNNNNNNNNNNNNNNNNNNNNNNNNNNNNNNNNNNNNNNNNNNNNNNNNNNNNNNNNNNNNNNNNNNNNNNNNNNNNNNNNNNNNNNNNNNNNNNNNNNNNNNNNNNNNNNNNNNNNNNNNNNNNNNNNNNNNNNNNNNNNNNNNNNNNNNNNNNNNNNNNNNNNNNNNNNNNNNNNNNNNNNNNNNNNNNNNNNNNNNNNNNNNNNNNNNNNNNNNNNNNNNNNNNNNNNNNNNNNNNNNNNNNNNNNNNNNNNNNNNNNNNNNNNNNNNNNNNNNNNNNNNNNNNNNNNNNNNNNNNNNNNNNNNNNNNNNNNNNNNNNNNNNNNNNNNNNNNNNNNNNNNNNNNNNNNNNNNNNNNNNNNNNNNNNNNNNNNNNNNNNNNNNNNNNNNNNNNNNNNNNNNNNNNNNNNNNNNNNNNNNNNNNNNNNNNNNNNNNNNNNNNNNNNNNNNNNNNNNNNNNNNNNNNNNNNNNNNNNNNNNNNNNNNNNNNNNNNNNNNNNNNNNNNNNNNNNNNNNNNNNNNNNNNNNNNNNNNNNNNNNNNNNNNNNNNNNNNNNNNNNNNNNNNNNNNNNNNNNNNNNNNNNNNNNNNNNNNNNNNNNNNNNNNNNNNNNNNNNNNNNNNNNNNNNNNNNNNNNNNNNNNNNNNNNNNCUUUUUUAUAUAUAUAAAAGAGAAUUUAUGUAUAAAUAAAACAGGUUAUUAUCUUUUUAUUGCUUAACUUAUUGAGAAAUAUAAGUGCAACAAGUAUUGUUCCAUAACAUUUUACUACUAAAGAAUUGUAAAAUCUUAGAUUUUAUUAUUUUUCCGUAAAAAUUGUUAGUUAAUUGUUGGUUAACUUUUAAGAUACUAAUUUUGCCCUUGCUUUGAAAAGCAUACAAAGAAUAUUGAUGAAUUUACAAAACAUUAAUACAAAGUAUAUUAACAUUUUUUUUUUAUCAAUACCGAUCAUAAUAUCUUUCUAAUUAAUAAUUUUACCCUUAAUAUUCAAUGAAAUUGUCGUUUUGUUUUUACUUUACCCCAAUUACAUCUACAUGAUGUUUGCGAUCAAUUAACCGUUAACUAAUCAUUAUAAUUAAAUUUAUAAUUAUUUAGUAGUAAAGUGUUAUAGUACAGUCAUUAGUGCACCUAAGCAGUAAAAAGAUAACAUAAGCAGUAAAAAGAUAAUAACUCAAAUAAAAAUAUUUGAACACAAUUAAGAUAUAUAUUUGGGGAUAAUUAAUUGAUGAAGGAACAUGCUUGCAGGAGGGGCAAGUGGAAUUGGUUUGGAGACAGCAAGGGUCUUGGCUCUACGUAAAGCUCAUGUUAUUAUUGCUGCAAGAAACAUGGCAGCUGCAAAUGAAGCAAAACAGCUUAUUCUAAAAGAAGAUGACACUGCUCGUGUUGAUACUCUGAAACUUGAUCUUUCCUCUAUUGCUUCUAUUAAAGAUUUUGCUCAGAACUUCAUUGCUCUUAAUCUUCCCCUCAACAUCUUAAUGUAAUUUUACUCGCCCCUCUUUCUCGAAAUAUUACAUAACUAUCUACUGAUGUUUCUGAGAAACAAUAAAAGCAUACUAUAACAUGCAAAAAUUAAUUUAAUGCAGAAACAAUGCUGGAAUCAUGUUCUGUCCCUACCAGAUUUCUGAAGAUGGAAUAGAGAUGCAAUUUGCAACAAAUCAUAUUGGUGAAUACUUUAAUUUGAAGCUGUAUUGGUUGUUAUUAAUUAACUAGCUAAAUUAGUAUUCAACUUUAAAUAUUACUUUUGCAGGGCAUUUUCUUUUAACAAAUUUGCUUCUGGACACAAUGAAUCGCACGGCUAAAGAAACGGGUAUUGAGGGCAGGUCCGGCAGGACAGUGAAUCUAUCAUCAAUAGCCCACCAAUACACAUACAAAGGUGGCAUUCGGUUUCAGAAGAUCAAUGACAAAGCAAGGUACGUUUUGAUCAUAUAAUAACAAUUAAAUCAGCUAAAAAUUUCUUCUCAUGUACGUUAUAAAUUUUGAUUUCAUCAUAUUAAUGCGUUAUUAAAUUGUAACGUAUUAUCACUGGGCAAUUAUGCUAAUUGAGUUGAAAAGUUAGUGAAAAAGAAAAAGAUAAAACAAAAAUCAUGGAUCUAUGAUGAUUGUUUUCUUUUUUAACAAGCUAAUAUUAUUAUGUUAUAUGCAAAGGUCAUUAAGAAAUUCUCUAAAUACCUUGUUAUUGUCAAAAAAAAUUUAUUGACAAAUUAAUUUUAGCUAAUUCAUAAUUUAACUUCAAUCCACGACAAUAACCGAAAUGAACAGACAGACUAGCUAGCAAGGUACUAGCCUUGUAACUGCCUCCAUUUAAUGCUAAUUAAGCAAAACUCAAAGAAACUACUGCUGAUGAUCAUGAUAAUGUCCAAAACCCGAGCUGUAAAAAUUAGGAAGAGCAUCAUUGGAAGAAGGAGGAAUCCCAAGAGGUAAUUUGCUUUGAUGAUGAUGAGGAUUAAUAUUUUGAUUAUUCACACCAAAAAAUGGUGAAGGAUUAUUUUUGUAAUCGAUCAAAAUCUUGUUAGCUUGUUGUUCCACAUUCUUCUUUAGCUCUUCCAUCGCGGUCUUCAAUUGUUCAAGUUCAUGCAAUCCUAAUUCGUUUAUAGGAGCUUCCCACCAACAUUGGCGGCAACUUGCUUUCCUUAUCUCACUCAGCACUUCACCAUGCUUCUUCUCAACUUCUAGUUGAUGAAGCACUUGUGUUAGUUGCAUGUUGAGCUCUCGAAUGUUAGCAUUUCGAUGAGCUUCGAUAAGCCUAUCUGUGCUAGACUCCGAAGGCGGGUUAGGAUUUCGGGCAAGAUAAAGAUCAAGGAUUGAAUCAACAUUAGGGUGGCCGAAAGAGAAGGCCUUGUUGGCAGGAGAGAAGACUAUUAGGGCAAUAUCAACACCACAAAGUGUGCUAAGUUCACUGGCUUUUUUGAACACGCCGGCACGGCGUUUGGAGAAAGUUACUUGAAGAUUAUUUUUCUUUGGUAUUUUUGAAAUUGCAAUCUUUUGGCGACCCGCACAAGGCUUCUUCAUCUCCAUUGAUACAAAUUAAAAUCAAAGAAUACUAAAAAAAUUAUAAAAUGUUCGUUUACUUUUCUCUUAUAUAUAUAUAUAUAUAUAUACUAUUUGUUGUGGUAGCUGUUGGGGAAACACAAUAGUAUUUAUAGGGUUAAUCUACUUGAAGUUUGCCUUAUAACUUAAUUAUGUGAUUAAUUGAAGAUUUGCGAGUUACCAAAUUUUAUUCUUUAAUGCAUGAUUAGUGAGAACUAAUUAUUUUUACUAGUUAGCCUUCAUAAGAUAACAAUUUCAUUUAUGAGGUAAUCUGGUUAAGUUGAUUAACCAUAUUCGUUAGUAUUAAUUUCGAUAUAGAAAAGUCAUAACCGAAUUCUUUGAUUAUAUUUUCUAAUUAAUAUCUUUCUUCCUAUUAUAAUUACUUACUUUCUAGCAUUAAGUUCACAUAUGCAUUAAACCUAUGUAACAGUAGCAAUAUAUUAUUUAAACAGUUACAGAAGGGCAUUAUGCAUUACUCUAUUUGGUUUCAAUAAUUAUUAAUUAACUUAUUGUGUUAUUUGGGCAUUCGUGCUUACUAUAGCCAGCAGCUUCAGUGCCUGAUCCAUAUUAAUUCCUUGCAUUUUAAUGAAACAAGGAGAAAUCAAGUUCAAGAAGGCAAAUCAUAUGUAUCCUCUCUUCAGGAUUUUUUUUCAGUUACAUAUUUCUCUAAUAGGAACAUCAUAAUUCUAUAAUUAGUAAAAUAUCUCUACAUUGUCGAUAGAUUUGUUUCAGUCGCUACAAUACUUUUAUCCCAUAUUCUUUUUUCCUGUUUGCUCAAAGGCAGGCAAAGGCUUCCUCCGUUGCGUGACGUGCGCUAAGAUUCAUAUUUCACAGCAUUAUUUUUCGAGUAAAUAACCAUAAGGAAAGAAUGAUUAUCCUUGGGCGGGAUAAUGAGUCUUUCUGUCAAAAUAUUCAUGCACAUAUAGCAAUACUCAUGCAUCACUAUUGGAUAAAACAAGAAUAUGUGUGCACAAAAAAAAAAAAAAAAAAUUAUGCAAACGCAACAAAAUUUAUAUUUUCGAAAUAUGAUUAUCAAUAUCUGAGGAAAAAAAAUCGAAUCUCAUUAGGGAAUCUUGCCACGUGAUCAUGAAUAAUUGACUAAUUGUGGAAGAUGAAGAUGAUAGUGAGGUGAGUUGCCGAUGGUCAUGGUGUUGUGUGGAGGCAAAAGAAAUGGUGGUGGGUUUGGAAGAGAAAGGGAGGAGGGGUUGUCGUGGGAGAGGCCAAGGGUGACUCUUGAGACACGAAGAGAAUGACAUUUCAGGGGAUUUGACGGAGAUUGAACAUGAAAAUUUGGAAAAGAAAGUUUCUUUCUUUCAGGAAUGAGCUAGUGAGCUGCAGCUGGAGUGAAAAGAACUGGAUUUUCCUUCUUUUUUUUUUCUUUCUUUUUUUUUACCCUUGAAGGUCGUUUCCGGGCGUUUUUCUGCCAAUUGCAUAAACCAAUCCUGAAUCUUU